UAAUCUUAGGCUGUGAAAAGA
This is a non-coding RNA of Caenorhabditis elegans, 21 nucleotides long. The record is from Ensembl. Lineage: Eukaryota; Metazoa; Nematoda; Chromadorea; Rhabditida; Rhabditidae.